This 406-nucleotide ribosomal RNA is filed under the name uncultured bacterium. RNAcentral's name for it is "partial 16S ribosomal RNA". It matches the Rfam family "Bacterial small subunit ribosomal RNA", at positions 30 to 526 of the family's 1533-position model. The record is from RNAcentral.
AUUGAACGCUAGCUACAGGCUUAACACAUGCAAGUCGAGGGACCGGCGCACGGGUGAGUAACACGUAUCCACCUUGCCUUUUACUCGGGGAUAGCCUUUCGAAGGAAAGAUUAAUACCCGAUAUAAAGAAUGGGGAUGGGUUCCUUUAGGUUGUUGGUGAGGUAACGGCUAACAAAGCCUUCGAUGGAUAGGGGUUCUGAGAGGAAGGUCCCCCACAUUGGAACUGUGACACGGUCCAAACGCCUACGGGAGGCAGCAGUGAGGAAUAUUGGUCAAUGGGCGGUAGCCUGAACCAGCCAAGUAGCGUGAAGGAUGAAGGCUUAUGGGUCGUAAACUUCUUUUAUAUAAGAAUAUGUAUUAUAUGAAUAAGGAUCGGCUAACUCCGUGCCAGCAGCCGCGGUAAUAC